UACGUAGGUGACAAGCGUUGUCCGGAAUUAUUGGGCGUAAAGGGAGCGCAGGCGGUUGGAAUAGUCUGAUGUGAAAGCCCACGGCUUAACCGUGGAAUGGCAUUGGAAACUGGGUCACUUGAGUGCAGAAGAGGAAAGCGGAAUUCCAUGUGUAGCGGUGAAAUGCGUAGAUAUAUGGAGGAACACCAGUGGCGAAGGCGGCUUUCUGGUCUGUAACUGACGCUGAGGCUCGAAAGCGUGGGUAGCAAACAGG
RNAcentral lists this ribosomal RNA (253 nucleotides) under uncultured bacterium. Its description in RNAcentral is "partial 16S ribosomal RNA". It matches the Rfam family "Bacterial small subunit ribosomal RNA", at positions 524 to 776 of the family's 1533-position model. The record is from RNAcentral.